AUACGUAGGUGGCAAGCGUUGUCCGGAUUUAUUGGGCGUAAAGCGAGCGCAGGCGGUUUCUUAAGUCUGAUGUGAAAGCCCCCGGCUCAACCGGGGAGGGUCAUUGGAAACUGGGAGACUUGAGUGCAGAAGAGGAGAGUAGAAUUCCAUGUGUAGCGGUGAAAUGCGUAGAUAUAUGGAGGAACACCAGUGGCGAAGGCGACUCUCUGGUCUGUAACUGACGCUGAGGCUCGAAAGCGUGGGGAGCAAACAGGAUUAGAUACCCUGGUAGUCCACGCCGUAAACGAUGAGUGCUAAGUGUUGGAGGGUUUCCGCCCUUCAGUGCUGCAGCUAACGCAUUAAGCACUCCGCCUGGGGAGUACGACC
This 366-nucleotide ribosomal RNA is filed under the name uncultured bacterium. Its description in RNAcentral is "partial 16S ribosomal RNA". It matches the Rfam family "Bacterial small subunit ribosomal RNA", at positions 523 to 887 of the family's 1533-position model. The record is from RNAcentral.